UAGCCCUAGAGGCCCACAAGCUCAAGAACAUCGAGCUCCCCGGCGCGCCCAGUCGCCAGCCGUGAUACCUGUGGUGCCCCCCAGACGUCAUGCUGCUGAAGCGGGUGCUGCUGCUCCUGCUGCCG
Molecule: long non-coding RNA, 125 nt
Organism: Xenopus laevis (African clawed frog)
Lineage: Eukaryota; Metazoa; Chordata; Amphibia; Anura; Pipidae
Exons: 3
Source: RefSeq, a predicted model, not a curated record